This 240-nucleotide ribosomal RNA is filed under the name uncultured bacterium. Its description in RNAcentral is "partial 16S ribosomal RNA". It matches the Rfam family "Bacterial small subunit ribosomal RNA", at positions 80 to 334 of the family's 1533-position model. The record is from RNAcentral.
CAAUCCAUGAGUAAAGUGGCGUACGGGUGAGUAACACGUGGGUAAUCUACCUUCUGGUGGGGAAUAACAUUGGGAAACCGAUGCUAAUACCGCAUAACCCCGCAAGGGAAAAGGAGAAAUUCGCCGGAAGAGGAGCCCGCGGCUGAUUAGCUAGUUGGUAGGGUAACGGCCUACCAAGGCAAUGAUCGGUAGCCGGCCUGAGAGGGCACACGGCCACACUGGCACUGAAACACGGGCCAG